UAGGGAAUCUUCCACAAUGGACGCAAGUCUGAUGGAGCAACGCCGCGUGAGUGAAGAAGGCUUUCGGGUCGUAAAACUCUGUUAUUGAAGAAGAACGUGUGUGACAGUAACUGGUCAUGCAGUGACGGUAUUCAAUCAGAAAGUCACGGCUAACUACGUGCCAGCAGCCGCGGUAAUACGUAGGUGGCAAGCGUUGUCCGGAUUUAUUGGGCGUAAAGCGAGUGCAGGCGGUCUUUUAAGUCUGAUGUGAAAGCCUUCGGCUUAACCGAAGAAGGGCAUCGGAAACUGGGAGACUUGAGUGCAGAAGAGGAGAGUGGAACUCCAUGUGUAGCGGUGAAAUGCGUAGAUAUAUGGAAGAACANCCAGUGGCGAAGGCGGCUCUCUGGUCUGUAACUGACGCUGAGGCUCGAAAGGCGUGGGUAGCAAACAGGAUUAGAUACCCUGGUA
This 447-nucleotide ribosomal RNA is filed under the name uncultured bacterium. Its description in RNAcentral is "partial 16S ribosomal RNA". It matches the Rfam family "Bacterial small subunit ribosomal RNA", at positions 355 to 792 of the family's 1533-position model. The record is from RNAcentral.